Molecule: long non-coding RNA, 394 nt
Filed under: Mytilus galloprovincialis (Mediterranean mussel)
Lineage: Eukaryota; Metazoa; Mollusca; Bivalvia; Mytilida; Mytilidae
Source: RNAcentral
CCACAAUAUUGAAUGGAACCCAUGCAGUCCAGUAGUUAGCACAUUUAUGUUCUCAUAACAUGCCAUUAAUAUAUUCCUUUUCUUUUUAUUUAAUGAAGAUUUGUUUAACCUCUAGACAAAGAAAAGUUAGGACGUAAUUUAUAAAAAAAAGUUUACGAAAAACGAAUAUCACUAAUAUGACAGAUAUGAAACAACGACAACCCCCGAAAAAGACAUCCUGACUUGGGCAGGAAAAAACAGAUAGUGUCGUUUUUAAACAUGGGUGUGAGCAAGCAAACACACCGCUAACCUGGACAGUGGUAUAACAGCACAACAUAAAAAUAUGUUGCAUUAGUGAAAAAAGAUCAGUACCAGACACAUAAACAGGUAAUAUAAAAUAAACACAAAACGCCGA